This 329-nucleotide unclassified non-coding RNA is filed under the name soil metagenome. RNAcentral describes it as "partial contains 5.8S ribosomal RNA, internal transcribed spacer 2, and large subunit ribosomal RNA". The stretch from base 1 to 120 matches the Rfam family "5.8S ribosomal RNA", at positions 35 to 154 of the family's 154-position model. The record is from RNAcentral.
GAUGAAGAACGUAGCGAAACGCGAUAGGUAAUGUGAAUUGCAGAAUUCAGUGAAUCAUCGAAUCUUUGAACGCACAUUGCGCCCCUUGGUAUUCCGAGGGGCAUGCCUGUUCGAGCGUCAUUAUAACCCCUCAAGCUCAGCUUGGUGUUGGGGCCUGCUGCACUGGCAGCCCUUAAAAUCAGUGGCGGCGCCAUCUGGCUCUAAGCGUAGUAAUUCUUCUCGCUAUGGAGUCCUGGUGGAUGCUUGCCAUCAACCCCCAAUUUUUCUAUGGUUGACCUCGGAUCAGGUAGGGAUACCCGCUGAACUUAAGCAUAUCAAUAAGCGGAGGA